This 654-nucleotide ribosomal RNA is filed under the name uncultured bacterium. RNAcentral's name for it is "bacterial SSU rRNA". It matches the Rfam family "Bacterial small subunit ribosomal RNA", at positions 232 to 885 of the family's 1533-position model. The record is from RNAcentral.
CGCGGCCUAUCAGCUUGUUGGUGGGGUGAUGGCCUACCAAGGCUUUGACGGGUAGCCGGCCUGAGAGGGUGACCGGUCACAUUGGGACUGAGAUACGGCCCAGACUCCUACGGGAGGCAGCAGUGGGGAAUAUUGCACAAUGGGCGAAAGCCUGAUGCAGCGACGCCGCGUGAGGGAUGGAGGCCUUCGGGUUGUAAACCUCUUUCGCUCAUGGUCAAGCCGCAACAUUGGUUGUGGUGAGGGUAGUGGGUAAAGAAGCGCCGGCUAACUACGUGCCAGCAGCCGCGGUAAUACGUAGGGCGCGAGCGUUGUCCGGAAUUAUUGGGCGUAAAGGGCUUGUAGGCGGUUGGUCGCGUCUGCCGUGAAAUCCUCUGGCUUAACUGGGGGCGUGCGGUGGGUACGGGCUGACUUGAGUGCGGUAGGGGAGACUGGAACUCCUGGUGUAGCGGUGGAAUGCGCAGAUAUCAGGAAGAACACCGGUGGCGAAGGCGGGUCUCUGGGCCGUUACUGACGCUGAGGAGCGAAAGCGUGGGGAGCGAACAGGAUUAAAUACCCUGGUAGUCCACGCUGUAAACGUUGGGCACUAGGUGUGGGGGCCACCCGUGGUUUCUGCGCCGUAGCUAACGCUUUAAGUGCCCCGCCUGGGGAGUACGG